Molecule: ribosomal RNA, 775 nt
Filed under: uncultured Neocallimastigales
Lineage: Eukaryota; Fungi; Neocallimastigomycota; Neocallimastigomycetes; Neocallimastigales
Description: partial large subunit ribosomal RNA
Rfam family: Eukaryotic large subunit ribosomal RNA
Source: RNAcentral
CGUCUAUAUACGUAUAGCAUAUCAAUAAGCGGAGGAAAAGAAACUAACUAGGAUUCCCUUAGUAACGGCGAGUGAAGCGGGAAGAGCUCAAAUUUGAAAUCUUCAAGGUUCUACCUUGACGAAUUGUAGUUUAAAGAAGUGUUUUCUGUUGGAGUUUUGGUAAAAGUUCUUUGGAAUAGGACAUCAUAGAGGGUGAGAAUCCCGUAUUUGACCAUUAUCUUCCAACUUUGUGAUACACUUUCAAAGAGUCGGAUUGUUUGGGAAUGCAGUCCAAAAUGGGUGGUAAAUUUCAUCUAAAGCUAAAUAUUGGCGAGAGACCGAUAGCGAACAAGUACCGUGAGGGAAAGAUGAAAAGAACUUUGAAAAGAGAGUUAAACAGUACGUGAAAUUGUCAAAAGGGAAGCGUUUGACACCAGUGUUGUUUUCUCGAAAAUCAAUUAAAAAUGGCGGGAUUUUGUGUUGUAUUGACUUUAUCAGCUUUCUGCACUUUUUUCCUAUCUUUUUUAAUGCACUUUUCGUUUAACAAGUCAACAUCAAUUUCUUUUGUUGUAAAAGAGUCAUUGGAAGGUGGCUUUCUUUUCGGAGAAAGUGUUUAUAGCCUUUGACUUCUGCAAUCGGAGAGAUUGAGGUCUGCAGCGUAGAUCCUUCGGGGUUAGAUACAUUUGUGCUAAGCUAUAGCCUUUCAUAGACAACUUGUUGACUAUGAUCAGUCAUGUAGCUUACUCGCUUAUGUCAUUUUACCUACGCUUAGGAUGUUGACGAUCAGCUGAGCGCG